UCGCGGUAAGACNUGGAAGACUAGUGUUAGUCAUCUUUAUUGGGUUUAAAGGGUACCUAGACGGUCAAUCACGCCUCUCCCAGAACAGAGAGGAACGAGUUGUACUAGAGUUUUAUAGGAAAGGCGAUAUUGUAUUAACGGAGUAGAGAUAAAAUUUAUUGAUACUGUUAGGAACGGAUAACGGCGAAGGCAAUCCUUUAUGUAAAAACUGACGUUGAGGGACGAAGGCUCGGGUAACGAACAGGAUUAGAUACCCUAGUAGUCCAGGCAGAAAAUGAUGAGUGCCAUAGGUUAGGUUAAUUUUGAUCUAUAAAUGAAAGUGUAAGCAUUCCACCUCAAGAGUAGUGCGGCAACGCAGGAACUGAAAUCAUUAGACCGUUUCUGAGAUCAGUAGUGAAGCAUGUUGUUUAAUUUGAUAGUCCGCAAAAAACCUUACCACAGCUUGAAUAUUUAGUGUAAUAUUUAGUGUAAUACUGAGUUUAAUACUUAGUACUAUACUGAGUAGUAUUAAGUACAGGUGCNGCAUGGCUGUCNUCAGUUAAUGUUGUGAAACUU
Molecule: ribosomal RNA, 555 nt
Filed under: Chrysothrix flavovirens
Lineage: Eukaryota; Fungi; Ascomycota; Arthoniomycetes; Arthoniales; Chrysotrichaceae
Description: SSU rRNA
Rfam family: Bacterial small subunit ribosomal RNA
Source: RNAcentral